This 405-nucleotide ribosomal RNA is filed under the name uncultured bacterium. Its description in RNAcentral is "bacterial SSU rRNA". It matches the Rfam family "Bacterial small subunit ribosomal RNA", at positions 917 to 1344 of the family's 1533-position model. The record is from RNAcentral.
GGGCCCGCACAAGUGGUGGAUCAUCUUGUUUAAUUCGAUAAUACGCGCAAAACCUUACCAACCCUUGACAUCUUUUUUUCAUGACCUUAAGAGGGUCUUGAUUAUUAAAAAGACAGGUGCUGCAUGGCUGUCGGCAGUUCGUGUUGUGAAAUGUUUGGUUAAAUCCUAUAACGGACGCAACCCCUUCAAAAUUUUCAUUUGCUUUUUUGAAAUGCCCAUGAGAAGUGGGAGGAAGGUGGGGAUCACGUCAAGUCCUCAUGGCCCUUAUGGGUUGGGCUACAAAGGUGAUACAAUGGUAAUGACAAAGGGAUGCAAUGAUUUAAGUCGGAGCAAAUCCUAAAAAUUAUCUUAGUUCGGAUUGGUCUCUGCAACUCGAGACCAUGAAGCUGGAAUCACUAGUAAUCG